GAUGAAGAACGUAGCGAAAUGCGAUAAGUAGUGUGAAUUGCAUAAUUCAGUGAAUCAUCGAAUCUUUGAACGCACAUUGCGCCCCUUGGUAUCCCGAGGGGCAUGCCUGUUCGAGCGUCAUUUCACCACUCAAGCCUGGCUUGGUGUUGGGCGACGUCCCCUUUGGGGACGCGCCUCGAAACGCUCGGCGGCGUGGCACCGGCUUUAAGCGUAGCAGAAUCUUUCGCUUUGGAAGUCGGGGCCCCGUCUGCCGGAAGACCUGCUCGCAAGGUUGACCUCGGAUCAGGCAGGGAUACCCGCUGAACUUAAGCAUAUCAAUAAGCGGAGGA
Molecule: unclassified non-coding RNA, 329 nt
Filed under: soil metagenome
Description: partial contains 5.8S ribosomal RNA, internal transcribed spacer 2, and large subunit ribosomal RNA
Rfam family: 5.8S ribosomal RNA (bases 1-120)
Source: RNAcentral